Molecule: ribosomal RNA, 500 nt
Filed under: uncultured bacterium
Lineage: Bacteria
Description: partial 16S ribosomal RNA
Rfam family: Bacterial small subunit ribosomal RNA
Source: RNAcentral
AUUAAACGCUAGCGGGAUGCCUUACACAUGCAAGUCGAACGGCAGCGCGGACUUCGGUCUGGCGGCGAGUGGCGAACGGGUGAGUAAUGUAUCGGAACGUGCCCAGUAGCGGGGGAUAACUACUCGAAAGAGUAGCUAAUACCGCAUACGCCCUACGGGGGAAAGGGGGGGAUGGCAAGACCUCUCACUAUUGGAGCGGCCGAUAUCGGAUUAGCUAGUUGGUGAGGUAAAGGCUCACCAAGGCGACGAUCCGUAGCUGGUUUGAGAGGACGACCAGCCACACUGGGACUGAGACACGGCCCAGACUCCUACGGGAGGCAGCAGUGGGGAAUUUUGGACAAUGGGGGCAACCCUGAUCCAGCCAUUCCGCGUGUGCGAUGAAGGCCUUCGGGUUGUAAAGCACUUUUGGCAGGAAAGAAAUCGCACGGAUUAAUACUCUGUGUGGAUGACGGUACCUGCAGAAUAAGCACCGGCUAACUACGUGCCAGCAGCCGCAGUAA